RNAcentral lists this ribosomal RNA (254 nucleotides) under uncultured bacterium. RNAcentral's name for it is "partial 16S ribosomal RNA". It matches the Rfam family "Bacterial small subunit ribosomal RNA", at positions 524 to 776 of the family's 1533-position model. The record is from RNAcentral.
UACGUAGGGUGCGAGCGUUUGUCCGGAAUUAUUGGGCGUAAAGAGCUUGUAGGCGGUCUGUCGCGUCUGCUGUGAAAAUCCGGGGCUCAACCCCGGACUUGCAGUGGGUACGGGCAGACUAGAGUGUGGUAGGGGAGACUGGAAUUCCUGGUGUAGCGGUGAAAUGCGCAGAUAUCAGGAGGAACACCGAUGGCGAAGGCAGGUCUCUGGGCCACUACUGACGCUGAGAAGCGAAAGCAUGGGGAGCGAACAGG